RNA transcript from Vicia villosa (hairy vetch), 556 nucleotides. It is a transcript of the gene named 3-ketoacyl-CoA synthase 4-like, with no coding region annotated. The transcript is spliced from 3 exons. The record is from RefSeq and is a predicted model, not a curated record. Lineage: Eukaryota; Viridiplantae; Streptophyta; Magnoliopsida; Fabales; Fabaceae.
UCCAUUUUCUAGUUAGCUGAGGUUUCCAAUGAAUUAAAGUGAUUAUGAUUAAGGGAAUUAUGAAAAAAUGAAAAGUUAGUCAUCAACAAAAACCUAAAUCCGAAAUAAAUUGGAAUUCUGGUUGUGACUUGUAGUUUGUUUAACCCUAUACCUUCACUUUCUUCAAUGAUUGUGAAUAAAUAUAACCUGAGAAGUAACAUUAUGAGUUUCAAUUUAGAUGGUUUGGGUUGUAGUGCUGGUGUUAUAGCUACUGAUCUUGCAACAGAUUUGCUGAUGGUUCAAAAGAAUGAUACUUAUGCUGUUGUUGUUAGCACUGAAAAUAAUUACUCAAAAUUGGUAGGCACAACUGGCAGUGUGAUGGGGCUUCCCAAAUAUCUGACUAAACAACUCUUAAAGGCGGUCUUAUAGUUUGUGUUAUCUAUCUCCCUCGUGGGACUGCUAAGUAAUGGUUUGUUUUAUAGAACAUUAUGGCAGAAAUCCAUGUAGCUGAUCCCAUUUAGUGGAAUAAAGUUAUGUUAUGUCUGAAUUUUUUGAUUGAAUAAUCUGUUUAAAGAAA